This 440-nucleotide ribosomal RNA is filed under the name uncultured bacterium. RNAcentral's name for it is "partial 16S ribosomal RNA". It matches the Rfam family "Bacterial small subunit ribosomal RNA", at positions 338 to 795 of the family's 1533-position model. The record is from RNAcentral.
CCUACGGGAGGCAGCAGUGGGGAAUCUUCCACAAUGGGGGAAACCCUGAUGCAGCAACGCCGCGUGAGUGAUGACGGCCUUCGGGUUGUAAAGCUCUGUCUUCAGGGACGAUAAUUACGGUACCUGAGGAGGAAGCCACGGAUAACUACGAGCCAGCAGCCGCGGUAAUACGUAGGUGGCGAGCGUUGUCCGGAUUUACUGGGCGUAAAGGGAGCGUAGGCGGACUUUUAAGUGAGAUGUGAAAGACUCGGGCUUAACUUGAGUGUUGCAUUUCAAACUGGAAGAAUAGAGUGCAGGAGAGGAGAAUGGAAUUCCAAGUGUAGCGGUGGAAUGCGUAGAGAUUAGGAAGAACACCAGUGGCGAAGGCGAGUCUCUGGACUGUAACUGACGCUGAGGCUCGAAAGCGUGGGGAGCGAACAGGAUUAGAUACCCUUGUAGUC